GAUGAACGCUAGCGGCAGGCUUAAUACAUGCAAGUCGAGGGGUAACAUGGUAGCAAUACUGAUGACGACCGGCAAACGGGUGCGGAACACGUACAGAACCUUCCUUUAAGCGGGGGAUAGCCCAUAGAAAUGUGGAUUAAUACCCCAUAGUAAUAUUGACUGGCAUCAGUUGGUAUUUAAAGAUUUAUCACUUAAAGAUGGCUGUGCGGCUGAUUAGGUAGUUGGUGCGGGAACGGCCCACCAAGCCAGCGAUCAGUAACUGGUGUGAGAGCACGACCAGUCACACGGGCACUGAGACACGGGCCCACUCCUACGGGAGGCAGCAGUAAGGAAUAUUGGUCAAUGGACGCAAGUCUGAACCAGCCAUGCCGCGUGAAGGAUGAAGG
Molecule: ribosomal RNA, 386 nt
Filed under: uncultured bacterium
Lineage: Bacteria
Description: bacterial SSU rRNA
Rfam family: Bacterial small subunit ribosomal RNA
Source: RNAcentral